UCCCGGUUGGCCCGGGCAGUCUCGUCUGAAAAAUUCAACAGACGAUAAGGGUUGCGCUCGUUGCGGGACUUAACCCAACAUUUCACAACACGAGCUGACGACGGCCAUGCAGCACCUGUCACUAGAUUCCCGAAGGCACUCCGUUAUUUCUAACAGAUUCCUAGGAUGUCAAGCCUCGGUAAGGUUCUUCGCGUACCAUCGAAUUAAACCCCAUGCUCCACCGCUUGUGCGGGUCCCCGUCAAUUCCUUUGAGUUUUAAGCUUGCGCUCGUACUCCCCAGGCGGCAUGCUUAUCGCGUUAGCUUCUCAGCACGGGGGGUCGAUACCCCAUACUAAUAGCAUGCAUCGUUUACGGCAUGGACUAC
RNAcentral lists this unclassified non-coding RNA (364 nucleotides) under uncultured bacterium. Its description in RNAcentral is "contains 16S-23S intergenic spacer region". The record is from RNAcentral.